RNAcentral lists this long non-coding RNA (119 nucleotides) under Struthio camelus australis. RNAcentral's name for it is "lncRNA (ENSSCUG00000012551.1)". The record is from RNAcentral. Lineage: Eukaryota; Metazoa; Chordata; Aves; Struthioniformes; Struthionidae.
AAAGGACCAGUUUGGGGGCGUUUGGAAGUACCUUCUAAUUUUCCAAGUGUUUGAGCCACAUUUGUUCAUAUCCUACAGCUGAAUCUCUACUGUCUACAGCUCCUAUCUCUGGACUUCUA